Non-coding RNA from Xyrichtys novacula (pearly razorfish), 228 nucleotides. The record is from the annotation of a GenBank genome assembly. NCBI's taxonomy places the organism in Eukaryota, Metazoa, Chordata, Actinopteri, Labriformes, Labridae.
AAACACACUCAGAGCGGAGAGGAGGAGGAGGAGGAGGAGGAGACACAGAUGUUCUUUGUACUGAGGAAACAUCUGGACUACAGCGAGGGGCGCACAAAUACCACAAAUAUACCACCAAACACACGCACGCGCGCUCUUUGGAGGAGAGGAGAACACCAUCAGGAGUCCAUGAUGCUGCUGUCCUCCUCCUCCUCCUCCUCCUCCUCUGCUCUUCAUCUUCUCCUUUCA